This is a long non-coding RNA of Ceratitis capitata (Mediterranean fruit fly), 1786 nucleotides long. RefSeq lists it as uncharacterized. The record is from RefSeq and is a predicted model, not a curated record. The transcript has 4 exons. Lineage: Eukaryota; Metazoa; Arthropoda; Insecta; Diptera; Tephritidae.
AGCUGACCGGCCCUACGGCCUUUUUUACAACUCAUAACAUACAAAGAGUAACAACAGUUACAACAUGACGCCCAGUGACCGGCAAUUGCUACCGACAGCGCGCUCUUCGCUACACCCAACUAUCAACGUCAUCAAUUAUCCUCCACAACCUCACCCGCUUUCCAUUACAGAACCCCAUUGUAGAGGAAACAGUUGCAGCAAAGGGAGCCAGCGAGAGUUUUGUGCUGCUGAGCGUGAGUUUCCGCGGUAGGAGUGGACGAGAGUGUGGGCUUUUGUGCUAUUGAGCUGUCAAAUCACCGCCAUUGUGCACACAUUGACAGGCCGUUCGAAAACCUAAAUUGGAUUAUGAUCACCAAUUUCAGGAAUAAUACGUAGGCAUAUAUAUGUCACCGCCUCGCUCCAUUUCUGACUUCGCAGCAUAUAUAUGGGGAUGGAUACAUGUGGAUAUGAGCAAAUGAGCCAAUGCUGGCACAAUCUAUGCGAACAGCAGGACAUAAUUAGAGUGCGUCCUGCCGAGUGCCUGAAGCAGUCGAUGGAUACAUUUGGAAAUGGAUUCCAGACAAAGGAAGGAGGCAUUGUCUAGAUAAUACUAGCAGAGACGACAAAAUUAAAUUUUAUUCCAUUUCUUUGACAAAUGUGUACGUAAUGGUCAAUGUUCUCAGCUCUGGCAGCCGUCAUGGAAUGUAAAACUCAUGUCGUAUUUCUAGGAAGACAUUGUAAAUCGAAAAUGUCCAAAAAUCAUUGUUAAAAUAGCUAAAUGAUUUUAGAGUCAAGAGCAGAUUAAUGAAAUGUUUUGCAGAUACCGACAGACUUUAAUAACGAUCCACAGGGUUUGACGCAGGAGCUGUCUAAGAAAUGAAUAUUGCUUCAAAGGAGACUAAUGAAACUCCUGAAGACUACUUAUUAACGUUCUCAGACUUUUUCCGAAAUCAAUGUCAUAAAUCAAAUGACUACAGUGGAGACACACAUAGAAUCAGCAGUAGCGCUGAUGGGACAAAUUGUUGUUGGAAAAAGUUGUGCACUUAUCCUUUUCUACUUUGAAGUUUAAAAAUUUAUGCAUUUCCAGUCUCUUAUAAACUACAGACUUUGUAGAAGAAAUAACUCAACCGAAUUCCAGUGGCUCACAUUUAAUUGCUUACAUGAAAAAAUUUAAGAUGUUUCAUUCUAAUCCUAGCCCACUUUGACUCGCUUUUACAACCAACAACAGCGGCCUUGAGAAGUACCAAAUAUUGCUAAGGAUAUUCAAGUGUCAAACGACGAAUGAACAAACGUGUCAAUGGGCACGACAAACAAUUGGAAAAAGUAGACAACAAUUAAAGAAAAAAGAAAGUAAAAUGAAAACAAAAUGUAAAUUAGAAGACUAUGCUGCAGUGAUAAUGCCAACAACAAAUGAAAUACGAGAUUUUCAAAGACACAAAAAAUAGACAUAAGCAAGAAAUGCUGACCAACAGACCGCAGUAGCAAAUAAAAACCAAAUGAAAACACAUUAUCCCUUGUCUUAAGCAGUCUGAAGUAAUUUCUAGAAGUCGCUGCCGCCCCACAACUCGACCCCGUCAGCGUCCAAGCAUCGCUAUUUUUGAAUAAUGAACUGCCUUACCUCUGGUUGGAGUGUAAUGCACCCGUUUGUCUACCUGAAAUCAAAUCUCGGUUUAACUACAUAUAUAACUAUGUAUUCUCGACGGCUAGCCGCAGCUUAUCAGACAUACUUUUGUUAUUAACUGUUUUAAUAAGAAUGCUUCGAGAUUGAAGAAAGCAAAAAUAAAGCAAAUCUUACGCUGCCCACUCA